This is a long non-coding RNA of Strigops habroptila (Kakapo), 3777 nucleotides long. RefSeq lists it as uncharacterized. The transcript has 3 exons. Lineage: Eukaryota; Metazoa; Chordata; Aves; Psittaciformes; Psittacidae. The record is from RefSeq and is a predicted model, not a curated record.
AGAUCACUGCUCGGGUUGGGCUGGGUAUCGGUCGGCAGGUGGUUCAACACUAGAUCUCAUCUGUGCUUCUUUAUGCUUAGAAGACAACUGACUUCACCAUGUUUCCUGGCACCAAGAGUUUUGAUCAGAAGUGGAUUGGAAUAUAGGCCUUUUUUUGGUCAACAGCAUCAGGAUAUUCUCUGGAGGACCCCUGAAUAACCACUGAACCAGUCAAACUUAUGAAGUCCCUCACUGAACAAACAAGCAUAGCUAAGGAAGACCUAUACCAUAACAAACAAGUUCAGAAGGGAUGACAUGAUCCAUGGACAUUUGAUGACUGAACAUUAUGACAUGACCAAAGGAGCACUAGGCAAUGAAAAUGCUGUGAUUCCAUAAAGAUAAAACAAAAAGACAUGUGGGGCCCUUCCUUUGUGGCUUUUAAUGUCAAGCAUUUGUUCUCAAAUCUCUAAAACAAAAAGGGCAGGAAGUUGACCUGGUAUCUCUACUGAUGAAUCUGAUACUUGACGAUGACCUUCAGUGAUAUUACAGGGAUUUAUGCAAGUCUUAUUCAGGUAAGUGGUGCAAGGAAUACGGUAUUUCACUGUUCUCAUGUUGAUACAGCGUAUAAUGGUAAGGCUUGCAGAUGGUGGGUACCGUGGGCAACUCUAUGAAUUUAAGUUUUCUUUUUGAGUGCUAAUGAUUAGCACAGCUAGUAGAUGGCACCCUUUAAAAUCCAUAUAAAUCUUACCUCAAAUUAUUUUGGAAGCAUUUCAAUAUUCUCGUGUCAUUUUUGGGAUAGUCAGUUAACUGUCACACCAGUUAAAACUAAUGUAAAUUAUAAAAGCAACAAGCACUGCACAUGCAUCAACUGCAGAAUGUGCUGACUGUAUCUAUACAAGUUAAAUUUGGCACUUACUUGGGCACUGAGAUCAGCUGCUAAGAAAUGGCACCUGCCUAUGAUAGCCUAACAGUUUAAACAAAAGAAAAUAAGCCCAAAAUUCUACUGAUUUCAAUUUUACUUGAUUUCUGAAUACUACAGAUCUUCAAACUACAGAUCUUCAAACAUAACCCCAUUCAUUUUGUGAAUCUAACUCUUAAAGCAGUUUUAAGGGCACAUUCUAGUAACGAAUGUUUUUAAACCAAUAAUCUUUCCAAAGUAUAAAAUAAGAUGUCCAACUCAAACUACAGUCCAGAAAGCUUUAUGCCAGGCUGUUGCCUGACCUAUUAUGAGUGCAUAUUUUACAUGCACAACAUGCAUGUUACAUGGCUAAAGGCAAGUUAUACAAUGCCUUUUUCUGUGUCACAGAAUACUUAAAAUACCUUGGCAUUACUAGACAACAAUACAGAGAAACCCGUAUUCCAUGCCACAUCUGGAAAAGCACAAGAGUGUCAAAUAGGACUCACUAGUAUGCAUAGCAUACUCCUUCCUGGUCUCCUGUAAUUCUGUGUCAUGUUUUGAGCAUACAUUUUCUUCUUGAACCUAGUUUUUGCAUUUGAUAUUUAAAUAUACAGGCAGGUCAAAGCAUAUAGUAUCUCAGAAAUUUGAGUUUCCACCAAGCAUAAAUGAUUAUUCAGUAAUAAGGAAAAAAAAUAUCUUAUUGCUUUCCUAAGAUCUCUGAACUUCCUAAGAAUAGAUCUUCUUCACCAAGGCAGGCAGACCCCUUUUGUAAUACAUUUCUACUCACAAAUAUUUUCUCUGGCUUUAACACUGACAUGCUGUCUAAAGUAGUCUGGAGACAGGAUCAGGGGUGGAGCACUGGCUAAUCUGUGAUGCCACUGGUACUACAGCUAAUUUGGAAGAGAGUAAAUGUCCUUCAAAAUUUCAGUCAAAAAUGGUGCUGGUUUUUAUCCCAUUACCAUGGAAGAGAUGAAGAUAAAAUCUGGCCACAAUUCUUUGUAUAAUAAGCGAUAUCUUGGCUACCCAGAACAGGAAUUGGUAGCUGCAAAAUCAGUGUGCUAGAAACAAAAUGGAAAUAUGAAGUGGUGGUGAACUACAGGUGAUUCGAAAACAAGAUGCAUUGCUAAAGGUGCUGGUCUCAAGUAUCUUCCAAGCUUUGGAAAUGGGCAACUUCUGUGCCUCAGGCAUCAGACCCAAACCAACUGGCAGCAGAGCAUGAGUGUGAGUCAGCACAGGAUUCCUGUACUGAGGAUGAAAAGGUAAGGAAAAUAAAGCCAGAGAUUCCAUUCAUUCAGGAAAGGAUCUCACUAAAUGGUACAACUCAGUGUGUCCAAUGCAGCCAGGCUUUCAGAGUUUCUUGUCAUGGCAAAGAACAGUACAGAAAACCCUUAUAUUGCCUGAAGGAGAAAUGGGCAAAACGUCAUGAUAACAGUGUGUCUAUGGCAACUUUUCCAAGGAUAAAAAUAAGUGCUCAAUUAACAAAAGUAAAACCAUGAGAUCUGUGACUUCUAAGAAUGCGCUUACCUUGAUUUCACAAGUCACUGAAAAAAUAAUCAUUAAACCUCCAGUCUUAGCAGCUAUUCUGGCUUGUUUUACAAAGGUUAAUAAUGCUUUCUACACAGCACUGACUUUCUGAUAACACAGAUUUAACACAGAUUACAAUCCAGGUGAAAAAAAAAUAAAAGAAAAAUUCUUUAGGGCUUUCCUUAGAGCUGCUCUCUUUUUAAAUCAUGAAAGAGUUCCAGUCUCCAAACACUCCCUGCAUGUUUGACACUAACCUACUUCCUUCAUCUCCUGAGCAAACACCAAAAGAAUAAGCCUGAGUAUAAUGUCCUGUGCUGUACUGAUUAGCUGGAGAACAGCAUAAUGUAGUCAGUCUUUAAUCCUGGCUCCAGAUGUUCUGUCAAGCUUUCCUUCAAGAAUGAAGAAGCAGUAAGAAGAAGAAUUAUUCACAAAAAGUCGUUGUAAGUAAAGAUUACUGCCACUUCUCUGUUCAUUCUGUUCUCUCUUCCUGAUUUGUCUUCAUAUGUUCUUCCCAUUUCUUCCAGCUAUUAUUCAGCAAGACUCGAGUUUUAUUAAUGAUGUUUACCUACCCCACUGUUUAGCGUUUUUCCCCAUGAGAUAGUGAGUAUCCAUUAAUAAGGAAGUCCUUGUGACUAUGAUUCCUAGUAAGGAAGAAUAGAAACUAUGGUUUUUGUCUGCUAGGUAGGAUCCCUUUCCAAAAACUUUAUCUGCCUGAAAAUUAAGCAGUUGUACUCAUGGUACUCUUUUACAACAGGAUGGUUUCAGCAGCAAAGCCAGAUGUUUGUUGCCCCUCCCCUCUAUUUCUUAUCCCCACUCAAAACUUUGUACAUUAUUAGCACUAUCAAGAUUCAUGGUUGAGGGUCCACACCAUAACACAGUCAGUUAAAUGAUGUGUAAUAAAGAGAACUCUAUAAAAAAGAAACGACAGAAAAGGGAGUGAGCUAUGGUACAUGGAAAGCGUUGUGCUGCCAGGGCAUUGGAAUAAAGGGUGAGGAAAGCUGUCUUCUGCCAAACAGCACUUCUGAAACUGUACCUUCAGCUACACACUCAGAUAGGGCCAAAGCUGUUUAACAGACGCCUCCCACUGACCAUCAUCCCAGUUAUCUAUAGAGGUAUCUACUGACUAUACAAAUAAACCUGAAUGAAAAUUUCUGAAUUAUUUUUUCAAGGCUUUUAUUCGAGGAAUUUGGAACUCAUCAUUCCCAUUUCAUUGCAAGAACUGAAAGCCAAGAAAAGACUGGAAUUUCACAGAAACAGUGCUUUGUUAUGUAUCUUAAGUUUUUUCACUAUAAGAAAGCUAUAAAUUUUCUGAUAUAAAUACCAACUGCAUUUCAGUGUCACCAGUACUACUAUGUAGCCCCUCUCCUUCCCCUCAU